Molecule: long non-coding RNA, 343 nt
Filed under: Mus spicilegus (steppe mouse)
Lineage: Eukaryota; Metazoa; Chordata; Mammalia; Rodentia; Muridae
Description: lncRNA (ENSMSIG00000015005.1)
Source: RNAcentral
ACAGGAUGGAACCUAUAUCUUCUGAUUUCUCUACUGACCUGCACUCCACAUUCUGAGGAGGAGUCCUUGAAGCUACUGAGAUAAUGGAACAAUGGAGUAGAUAGUCCAUUAUAACUAUCUGGGAUUCUUCUCAACUUCAAGUGACCACAGUAAACCUUUAUAGUGAAAAUGAAGAAAUGGAAGUACUAGAAUCAAAUCCAAACUGCUCAGGGAGCUGACAUCCAGGUAGGUAUCCUGGUUAAUUUUUAUUGUCAAUUUGACACAAACUAGAAUCCUGGGAUGAGGGUACCUCAGUUAUCUCAGUUGAAGAAUCGCCUCAGUCAGAUUAGCCUGUGUCUGUGAG